GAUGAACGUUGGCGGCGUGCCUAAUACAUGCAAGUCGAACGAAGACUGUAGUAAUACUGUCUUAGUGGCGAACGGGUGAGUAACGCGUGGGUGACCUGCCCCGAAGUGUGGGAUAACAGUCCGAAAGGAUUGCUAAUACUGCAUAAUAUCCAAGAGAUUAGAUGCUUUUGGAUUAAAGGAGUAAUUCGCUUCGGGAGGGGCCCGCGUCCCAUCAGCUAGUUGGUAAGGUAAUGGCUUACCAAGGCGAUGACGGGUAGGGGACCUGAGAGGGUGGCCCCCCACAAUGGAACUGAAACACGGUCCAUACACCUACGGGUGGCAGCAGUAGGGAAUAUUAGUAAUGGGCGAAAGCCUGAACUAGCAACGCCGCGUGUGCGAAGAAGGCCUUCGGGUUGUAAAGCACUUUUUGAGAGGAUGAGGAAGGACGGUACUCUCAGAAUAAGUCUCGGCUAACUACGUGCCAGCAGCCGCGGUAAGAGUGUGUGUA
This 487-nucleotide ribosomal RNA is filed under the name uncultured bacterium. RNAcentral's name for it is "bacterial SSU rRNA". It matches the Rfam family "Bacterial small subunit ribosomal RNA", at positions 28 to 533 of the family's 1533-position model. The record is from RNAcentral.